MicroRNA precursor from Loxodonta africana (African savanna elephant), 64 nucleotides. Ensembl annotates it as microRNA 155. Its record names the gene MIR155. The record is from Ensembl. Lineage: Eukaryota; Metazoa; Chordata; Mammalia; Proboscidea; Elephantidae.
CUGUUAAUGCUAAUCGUGAUAGGGGUUUUUACCUCAAGCAACUCCUACAUGUUAGCAUUAACAG